This 253-nucleotide ribosomal RNA is filed under the name uncultured bacterium. RNAcentral describes it as "partial 16S ribosomal RNA". It matches the Rfam family "Bacterial small subunit ribosomal RNA", at positions 524 to 776 of the family's 1533-position model. The record is from RNAcentral.
UACGUAGGGUCCAAGCGUUAUCCGGAAUCACUGGGCGUAAAGCGUGCGUAGGCGGAUGUUUAAGUGUGAUGUUAAAUCGUGGGGCUCAACCCUGUCGUUGCAUCGCAUACUGGGCAUCUAGAGGACGGCAGAGGCAAGUGGAACUCGUAGUGUAGCAGUGAAAUGCGUAGAUAUUACGAAGAACACCAAUGGCGAAGGCAGCUUGCUGGGCCGACCCUGACGCUGAGGUACGAAAGCGUGGGGAGCGAACAGG